GGGGUUGUAGCUCAGUGGUAGACCACUUGUCUCGCAUGCAUGAGGCACUGGGUUCAAUCCUCAGCACCACA
This 71-nucleotide transfer RNA is filed under the name Marmota monax (woodchuck). RNAcentral's name for it is "tRNA.Ala". It matches the Rfam family "tRNA". Rfam says of the family: Transfer RNA (tRNA) molecules are approximately 80 nucleotides in length. The record is from RNAcentral. Lineage: Eukaryota; Metazoa; Chordata; Mammalia; Rodentia; Sciuridae.